This 434-nucleotide ribosomal RNA is filed under the name uncultured Oscillospiraceae bacterium. RNAcentral's name for it is "partial 16S ribosomal RNA". It matches the Rfam family "Bacterial small subunit ribosomal RNA", at positions 341 to 792 of the family's 1533-position model. Lineage: Bacteria; Bacillati; Bacillota; Clostridia; Eubacteriales; Oscillospiraceae. The record is from RNAcentral.
ACGGAAGGCAGCAGUGGGGAAUAUUGGGCAAUGGGGGAAACCCUGACCCAGCAACGCCGCGUGAAGGAAGAAGGCCUUCGGGUUGUAACCUUCUUUUACCAGGGACGAUAAUGACGGUACCUGGAGAAAAAGCAACGGCUAACUACGUGCCAGCAGCCGCGGUAAUACGUAGGUUGCAAGCGUUGUCCGGAUUUACUGGGUGUAAAGGGCGUGUAGGCGGAGCUGCAAGUCAGAUGUGAAAUCCCGGGGCUCAACCCCGGAACUGCAUUUGAAACUGUAGCCCUUGAGUAUCGGAGAGGCAAGCGGAAUUCCUAGUGUAGCGGUGAAAUGCGUAGAUAUUAGGAGGAACACCAGUGGCGAAGGCGGCUUGCUGGACGACAACUGACGCUGAGGCGCGAAAGCGUGGGGAGCAAACAGGAUUAGAUACCCUGGUA